AUACCUUCCAGUAUGGGGAAUUCCCAGGUGAGGCUCAUUCAUUUGCACUCCGGGGUGUGCUGAACCCUGCGAUUUCCUCAAAAUGCGGGAAACUCGACUGCAUAAUUUUGUGGUAUAUAUAUAUAUACCCAAU
RNAcentral lists this small nuclear RNA (133 nucleotides) under Anolis carolinensis (green anole). RNAcentral describes it as "U1 spliceosomal RNA (ENSACAG00000041150.1)". It matches the Rfam family "U1 spliceosomal RNA". From Rfam's summary of the family: U1 is a small nuclear RNA (snRNA) component of the spliceosome (involved in pre-mRNA splicing). Its 5' end forms complementary base pairs with the 5' splice junction, thus defining the 5' donor site of an intron. The record is from RNAcentral. Lineage: Eukaryota; Metazoa; Chordata; Lepidosauria; Squamata; Anolidae.